This 2274-nucleotide long non-coding RNA is filed under the name Nicotiana tabacum (common tobacco). RNAcentral's name for it is "long non-coding RNA (NTAB_LNC010631)". The record is from RNAcentral. Lineage: Eukaryota; Viridiplantae; Streptophyta; Magnoliopsida; Solanales; Solanaceae.
ACAACUCUUUGCCCUCUCUACAAAAAAUUGUAACUGCUCUUGCUCUUUAAUCAACCAAUUUGUCUUAAGAUCUCAUUUGGAGCAUGUGAUAGGAUCUAUUUUUAGCCUUCUGGAUCAGAAAUACCUCAGCUAAGUAUUGUCUUUUCUUUUUUAUGUAUAUAUUGGUUAUGUGCCUUUGCAACAGUAUUUUAAGAAAAAACUCCUUUUGUAUUUGAACCCACACAAUGUUGUAGUUUUAUUGUGUAAUCUUAUUUUUAAAAGAACGUGUAAACUAAAACGUUAGCAAGUAUAAACGAACCUAAAAAAUAAGUAAUACUACAAAUCACUUUGAGAUUAUUUUGUAUUUUCUUCUUCUUGCACUAGAAAGAGACAAUUUUAUCAUAACAUAACAUACUGAAUAUAUGAUGUUAAAACGCUGCAAUUUUUGUGAAUAGGGGAACUAAUAUUUUAUGUAGUAUUUUGGAAUGUUUGUGUGAUAGAUUGGAAGAGGAGAAAAAAGAAGACUAAAAAAGGAAAGCGUAAAUGGUGAAAAUAAAUGAGUAAACAAUAUAUAAAAAGAAAGAGUUUGCUUUUAUAAAAUUGCGUGUACUUGGUCCUUGAUUUACAACGGUUUCAUAUUUUUGAUUAUAUUGUGUCCAUUAGUGCAAUAAGCUUUUAGGAUUUUUAAACACUUCUCUAUUUUGAUUAUUUCGAUUUUUUUUUUACCAAUAUCUUCCAUUGUAUAGACAGUCCUUUUUAAUUAUCACCAAUAAGAUGGGCGUCUUUCUUUAGCAUGAGUUUCACUAUUUUUAUGUAUAUUUGGUUCGUGAAAGUCGUGAGUUAUUUCUGAACCCGUCAAAUUCGUUUUGGAUCCACGUUUCAUAUUAGCGAAGUUGCAGCAAAAGCUGGUUGAAGAACACCAAGACACAAUAAUAUGCUUGCCAACGCUCUUCUAUAUCUAUUGAAUGAUAUGAUAUGAUAUUGUAUGCUUUUAAUUCAUCUAAAAGUUUGUAUAUAAGAAAAACUGACACUGAAUUACGAGAGAAAAAAAUUAAAUUUAAGAAAAUUAAUAAUUUUUUUACGAGAUGUUUUGAGGGAGGAGCUCAAUAAACUGCCCUUUUCAGCAUAAAGCUUCUACUAUAAACUGCCCUUUUUAGCAUGAAACUUCUCCUAUCGAAGAAAUUACGCUUAAGCUUAGUGAAUAUAUGAUAAUAUUUUAAGGAUUUUAGGAAAUUAGCUUUGAUUCAUUUUAUUUAAAAUCUUUUUCUUAAAUGAUUUUCAAUUUGAAUCUUCUAUUGAAGAGUUAGUGAAGUGCACGAAUAACUUUUGGAACUGGUAAUAUUGUGAGUUUUAAAGUUAAUAGGAGAAAAUAUUUAUAUUCUUGUCUAAUGCAUGAAAUUUGUAUUUCUUCUAUCUCUAUUAAAUUUAUAACAAGACAUAUGGUAACCGCGCGAAGCGCUGACAAUUUGACUAGUUCAAAAUAUAACGAAUCGACCAAAUAUCACUCUUUUUCAAUAUCCUUGACUGAUGCUAGUUUGGCAUUAAAAUUUAAACUGAGCGGCACCCGCAACCAUGAAAUCCUUGAUCCGUAGACUGAUAAUAGGCUAUAUUCAUGUAGUUUAACGACCAUUUACGCCCCAAAUUAGCUAUACUUUAUUGCUAUAUGAAGGUUAAAAUGACAACAAAUGGCUCUAAUUAUGAAUUUUGUGCUUUGCAGGAGCAAGUCCUGAUUAUGAGGACAUUAAACAGUGUUUGGAGUUAAUUUGGAGCAAGGAAGGCCAAUCGAAGGUGAGUGCGCGUGAAAGAAGAAGGAAAAAAUGAAAGACAGUUGAGUUCCAUGAGCACGGGCCAACCGUGACCGCGCUCAGGCUCAUGCAUAAAAGAAUGCAAUAUGCGCGGUCUGAUCGCGGUCCGAGCGCGGCCGCGCUCGUCACUCCGAGAAACUUUAUUUCAGGGGUAAAUUUGUAAGUUCGGGGGCAACUCUCCUUAACCUAUAAGAAGCCCAACUCACCCAAAAAGAAGGUAUCAAGGUUUUUGAAGGAUUAUUGAAGGCAAGAAGAGGAAAGAGGCAAGGCGGAAGAUUCGGCAUAGAGUUUUACCUUUCUUCCUCUUGUUUUAAUCACUAAUGAUGAAUUCUAUUGUUAUGAUUGUGAAAAAGAUUAUGCGUAGCUAAACUCUUAAUCUAGGAUUUUGAUGGAACGUCUUGAAGGAUGAAUUUCUUGAUAUGUUAAUAUAAAUUUGCCAUAGUAUUUUCUCUGUUUGUUCAACUAUAUUGUGAUUGCUGUUGAUUGAAGG